Molecule: ribosomal RNA, 143 nt
Filed under: Pseudomonas sp. 10-11H
Lineage: Bacteria; Pseudomonadati; Pseudomonadota; Gammaproteobacteria; Pseudomonadales; Pseudomonadaceae
Description: partial 16S ribosomal RNA
Rfam family: Bacterial small subunit ribosomal RNA
Source: RNAcentral
CCUGUGCGCCACACACGUGCUACAAUGGUCGGCACAGAGGGUUGCCAAGCCGCGAGGUGGAGCUAAUCUCACAAAACCGAUCGUAGUCCGGAUCGCAGUCUGCAACUCGACUGCGUAAAGUCGGAAUCGCUAGUAAUCGCGAA